RNAcentral lists this ribosomal RNA (308 nucleotides) under uncultured bacterium. Its description in RNAcentral is "partial 16S ribosomal RNA". It matches the Rfam family "Bacterial small subunit ribosomal RNA", at positions 505 to 808 of the family's 1533-position model. The record is from RNAcentral.
GAGACAGCAGCCGCCGCGGGAAUACAGAGGGUGCGAGCGUUAAUCGGAUUUACUGGGCGUAAAGCGUGCGUAGGCGGCUUUUUAAGUCGGAUGUGAAAUCCCUGAGCUUAACUUAGGAAUUGCAUUCGAUACUGGGAAGCUAGAGUAUGGGAGAGGAUGGUAGAAUUCCAGGUGUAGCGGUGAAAUGCGUAGAGAUCUGGAGGAAUACCGAUGGCGAAGGCAGCCAUCUGGCCUAAUACUGACGCUGAGGUACGAAAGCAUGGGGAGCAAACAGGAUUAGAUCCCCUGUAGUCCCUGUCUCUUAUACA